This 539-nucleotide ribosomal RNA is filed under the name uncultured bacterium. RNAcentral describes it as "bacterial SSU rRNA". It matches the Rfam family "Bacterial small subunit ribosomal RNA", at positions 8 to 526 of the family's 1533-position model. The record is from RNAcentral.
AGAGUUUGAUCCUGGCUCAGAAUCAACGCUGGCGGCGUGCCUCAGACAUGCAAGUCGAACGCGAAAGCUCCCUUCGGGGAGCAAGUAGAGUGGCGCACGGGUGAGUAACACGUAGGUAAUCUACCUUCGGAUGGGGAAUAACAACCGGAAACGGUUGCUAAUACCGCAUAAUGCAGCGGCACCUAAUGGUGACAGUUGUUAAAGCGGGGGAUCGUAAGACCUCGCGUCUGAAGAGGAGCCUGCGGCAGAUUAGCUAGUUGGUAAGGUAACGGCUUACCAAGGCGAUGAUCUGUAGCCGGCCUGAGAGGGCGGUCGGCCACACUGACACUGACAUACGGGUCAGACUCCUACGGGAGGCAGCAGUCGGGAAUUUUGGGCAAUGGGCGAAAGCCUGACCCAGCAACGCCGCGUGAAGGAUGAAAUCCCUCGGGAUGUAAACUUCGCAAGAACGGGAAGAAUAAGUGAGAGUUAAUAUCUCUCGCGAUGACGGUACCGUUUGUAAGCUCCGGCUAACUCCGUGCCAGCAGCGGCGGUAAUAC